This 160-nucleotide ribosomal RNA is filed under the name uncultured bacterium. Its description in RNAcentral is "partial 16S ribosomal RNA". It matches the Rfam family "Bacterial small subunit ribosomal RNA", at positions 355 to 507 of the family's 1533-position model. The record is from RNAcentral.
UGGGGAAUAUUGCGCAAUGGGCGAAAGCCUGACGCAGCGACGCCGCGUGAGGGAUGAAGGUUGUCGGAUCGUAAACCUCUGUCAGAAGGGAAGAAAAUCCAGGGGAGUAACUGCCCUUGGCCUGACGGUACCUUCAAAGGAAGCACCGGCUAACUCCGUG